GAUGAAGAACGCAGCGAAAUGCGAUAAUUAAUGUGAAUUGUAGAAUUCCGUGAAUCAUCGAGCCUUUGAACGCACAUUGCGCCUCAUGGCAUUCCGUGAGGCAUGCCCAUCUCAGCGUUAGAAAAUAUUCUCAAAUUUUAGUUUUGUGCUAAAAUUUGGAUCAUGUCAAAGAAGCUAUUACUAUUAUUGUGAUCGCUCUUUGGAAAUUGAUAGGUCUUUGAGUUGCUACUCAUAGAACGUGAUGAAUCUUUCUUCGUUCUAUUGUAAUUCAUUCUGGUAGUCCUAAAACUUGUAUGCCUGUGGCAUAUCUUGUAAUUUGACCUGAGAUUGGGUAGGGAUACCCGCUGAACUUAAGCAUAUCUAUAAGCGGAGGA
This 374-nucleotide unclassified non-coding RNA is filed under the name soil metagenome. RNAcentral's name for it is "partial contains internal transcribed spacer 2 and large subunit ribosomal RNA". The stretch from base 1 to 120 matches the Rfam family "5.8S ribosomal RNA", at positions 35 to 154 of the family's 154-position model. The record is from RNAcentral.